AACGAACGCUGGCGGCAGGCCUAACACAUGCAAGUCGAACGAACGUAGCAAUACGUGAGUGGCGCACGGGAGAGUAACACGUGGGAACCUACCUUUUGGUUGGAAUAACGUCGGGAAACUGACGCUAAUACCGGAUAAGCCCUACGGGGGAAAGAUUUAUCGCCGAAAGAUGGGCCCGCGCUAGAUUAGCUUGUUGGUGAGGUAAUGGCUCACCAAGGCUACGAUCUAUAGCUGGUCUGAGAGGAUGACCAGCCUCACUGGUACUGAGACACGGACCAGACUCCUACGGGAGGCAGCAGUGAGGAAUAUUGGUCAAUGGGCGGAAGCCUGAACCAGCCAUGCCGCGUG
RNAcentral lists this ribosomal RNA (348 nucleotides) under uncultured bacterium. Its description in RNAcentral is "bacterial SSU rRNA". It matches the Rfam family "Bacterial small subunit ribosomal RNA", at positions 29 to 403 of the family's 1533-position model. The record is from RNAcentral.